Molecule: ribosomal RNA, 734 nt
Filed under: uncultured bacterium
Lineage: Bacteria
Description: bacterial LSU rRNA
Rfam family: Bacterial large subunit ribosomal RNA
Source: RNAcentral
ACUGAAACAUCUAAGUACCCGGAGGAGAAGAAAACAAAAGUGAUUCCGCUAGUAGCGGCGAGCGAACGCGGAUUAGCCCAAACCACAGUUGUUACGGCAAUUGUGGGGUUGUAGGACCACGACAUUUGAUGCUAAACGAACUAGAAUCUACUGGAAAGUAGGACCAUAGAGGGUGAUAGUCCCGUAUAGGUAAGUUGAGUUAUUGAUAGUGGUAUCCUGAGUAGUGCGGGGCACGUGAAACCCUGCAUGAAUUUGCCGGGACCAUCCGGUAAGGCUAAAUACUCCUGAGAGACCGAUAGUGAACCAGUACCGUGAGGGAAAGGUGAAAAGAACCCUGAAUAAGGGAGUGAAAUAGAUCCUGAAACCAUACGCUUACAAGCGGUCGGAGCAGACUUGAUCUGUGACGGCGUGCCUUUUGCAUAAUGAGCCUACGAGUUACCGUUGCUAGCAAGGUUAAUCGAUUCAGUCGAGGAUCCGUAGCGAAAGCGAGUCUGAAUAGGGCGUAUAGUUAGUAGUGGUAGACGCGAAACCGUGUGAUCUACCCAUGAGCAGGUUGAAGCUUUGUUAACCCAAAGUGGAGGACCGAACCCGUUGACGUUGAAAAGUCUUGGGAUGACUUGUGGGUAGGGGUGAAAGGCCAAUCAAACUCGGAAAUAGCUCGUACUCCCCGAAAUGCAUUUAGGUGCAGCGUAUUAAUAGUUUUAUAGAGGUAGAGCUACUGAUUGGAUGCGGGG